AACGAGCGCUGGCGGCGCGCCUAAUACAUGCAAGUCGAGCGAGAAGACGUAGCAAUACGUUUGUAAAGCGGCGAACGGGUGAGGAAUACAUGGGUAACCUACCCUCGAGUGGGGAAUAACUAGCCGAAAGGUUAGCUAAUACCGCGUACGCUCCUUGGACUUCGGUUCAGGGAGGAAAGCGAUACCGUGGGUAUCGCGCUCUUGGAUGGGCUCAUGUCCUAUCAGCUUGUUGGGAGGUAACGGCUCACCAAGGCUUCGACGGGUAGCUGGUCUGAGAGGACGAUCAGCCACACUGGCACUGCGACACGGGCCAGACUCCUACGGGAGGCAGCAGUAAGGAAUAUUGCGCAAUGGGCGAAAAGCCUGACGCAGCGACGCCGCGUGGGGGAG
This 390-nucleotide ribosomal RNA is filed under the name uncultured bacterium. RNAcentral describes it as "bacterial SSU rRNA". It matches the Rfam family "Bacterial small subunit ribosomal RNA", at positions 29 to 409 of the family's 1533-position model. The record is from RNAcentral.